AAGUCGUAACAAGGUCUCCGUAGGUGAACCUGCGGAGGGAUCAUUACCAGAGCUUGGGGUCUCCGGCCCCAUCCUCCCACCCAAUGUUGUCGCAUCAGACGAUCCGGUGCCUCGGGGGCGACCCGGCCCUCGGGCGGGCCCCCCGGCGGACAACCGCCCAACUCUGAGACACGUCGUCCUGUAUACAAAACAAAUGAAACAAAACUUUCAACAAUGGAUCUCUUGGUUCUG
Molecule: unclassified non-coding RNA, 231 nt
Filed under: air metagenome
Description: partial contains small subunit ribosomal RNA, internal transcribed spacer 1, and 5.8S ribosomal RNA
Rfam family: Eukaryotic small subunit ribosomal RNA (bases 1-46)
Source: RNAcentral